RNAcentral lists this ribosomal RNA (426 nucleotides) under uncultured Pseudomonadota bacterium. RNAcentral's name for it is "bacterial SSU rRNA". It matches the Rfam family "Bacterial small subunit ribosomal RNA", at positions 356 to 774 of the family's 1533-position model. The record is from RNAcentral. Lineage: Bacteria; Pseudomonadati; Pseudomonadota.
GGGGAAUUUUGGACAAUGGGCGCAAGCCUGAUCCAGCAAUGCCGCGUGCAGGAUGAAGGCCUUCGGGUUGUAAACUGCUUUUGUACGGAACGAAAAGCCUCUCUCUAAUACAGGGGGGUGAUGACGGUACCGUAAGAAUAAGCACCGGCUAACUACGUGCCAGCAGCCGCGGUAAUACGUAGGGUGCAAGCGUUAAUCGGAAUUACUGGGCGUAAAGCGUGCGCAGGCGGUUUUGUAAGACAGUGGUGAAAUCCCGGGGCUCAACCUCGGAACUGCCUUUGAUACUGGAAGUCUUGAGUCCGAGAGAGGUGAGUGGAACUCCGAGUGUAGAGGUGAAAUUCGUAGAUAUUCGGAAGAACACCAGUGGCGAAGGCGGCUCACUGGCUCGGUACUGACGCUGAGGUGCGAAAGCGUGGGGAGCAAACA